RNAcentral lists this transfer RNA (63 nucleotides) under Stenchaetothrips biformis. RNAcentral's name for it is "tRNA-Ala". Lineage: Eukaryota; Metazoa; Arthropoda; Insecta; Thysanoptera; Thripidae. The record is from RNAcentral.
AGAGUAAUAAUUUAAAAAAAAAUAUUUAUUUUGCAUAUAAAAUUUACAUAAUUGUUUACUUUG